Non-coding RNA from Acanthosepion pharaonis, 110 nucleotides. Lineage: Eukaryota; Metazoa; Mollusca; Cephalopoda; Sepiida; Sepiidae. The record is from the annotation of a GenBank genome assembly.
UACGACCAUAUCACAUUGAAAUACUGGUUCCUCUAGGAACACCGAAGUUAAGCAACAUUGAGUCUGGUACGUACCUCGGUAGGUGGCGGCUUAGGAAUGCCAGGUGCUAU